RNAcentral lists this transfer RNA (70 nucleotides) under Dipodomys ordii (Ord's kangaroo rat). It matches the Rfam family "tRNA". Rfam says of the family: Transfer RNA (tRNA) molecules are approximately 80 nucleotides in length. Their secondary structure includes four short double-helical elements and three loops (D, anti-codon, and T loops). The record is from Rfam by way of RNAcentral. Lineage: Eukaryota; Metazoa; Chordata; Mammalia; Rodentia; Heteromyidae.
GGGAAAGUAGCUCAGUGGUAGAGUGAUUGCCUUGCAUGCAUGAGGCCCUGGGUUCGAAUCCUCAGCCCCA